GGGUUGUGAGGUUAAGCGACUAAGCGUACACGGUGGAUGCCCUGGCAGUCAGAGGCGAUGAAGGACGUGCUAAUCUGCGAAAAGCGUCGGUAAGGUGAUAUGAACCGUUAUAGCCGGCGAUGUCCGAAUGGGGAAACCCAGUGCAAUUCGUUGCACUAUCGUUAACUGAAUACAUAGGUUAACGAGGCGAACCGGGGGAACUGAAACAUCUAAGUACCCCGAGGAAAAGAAAUCAACCGAGAUUCCCCCAGUAGCGGCGAGCGAACGGGGAGCAGCCCAGAGUCUGAAUCAGCUUGUGUGUUAGUGGAACGGUCUGGAAAGUCCGACGGUACAGGGUGAUAGUCCCGUACACCAAAAUGCACAGGCUGUGAACUCGAAGAGUAGGGCGGGACACGUGGUAUCCUGUCUGAAUAUGGGGGGACCAUCCUCCAAGGCUAAAUACUCCUGACUGACCGAUAGUGAACCAGUACCGUGAGGGAAAGGCGAAAAGAACCCCGGCGAGGGGAGUGAAAAAGAACCUGAAACCGUGUACGUACAAGCAGUGGGAGCACCUUCGGGUGUGACUGCGUACCUUUUGUAUAAUGGGUCAGCGACUUAUAUUCUGUAGCAAGGUUAACCGUAUAGGGGAGCCGCAGGGAAACCGAGUCUUAACUGGGCGUUAAGUUGCAGGGUAUAGACCCGAAACCCGGUGAUCUAGCCAUGGGCAGGUUGAAGGUUGGGUAACACUAACUGGAGGACCGAACCGACUAAUGUUGAAAAAUUAGCGGAUGACUUGUGGCUGGGGGUGAAAGGCCAAUCAAACCGGGAGAUAGCUGGUUCUCCCCGAAAGCUAUUUAGGUAGCGCCUCGUGAACUCAUCUUCGGGGGUAGAGCACUGUUUCGGCUAGGGGGUCAUCCCGACUUACCAACCCGAUGCAAACUACGAAUACCGAAGAAUGUUAUCACGGGAGACACACGGCGGGUGCUAACGUCCGUCGUGAAGAGGGAAACAACCCAGACCGCCAGCUAAGGUCCCAAAGUCAUGGUUAAGUGGGAAACGAUGUGGGAAGGCACAGACAGCCAGGAUGUUGGCUUAGAAGCAGCCAUCAUUUAAAGAAAGCGUAAUAGCUCACUGGUCGAGUCGGCCUGCGCGGAAGAUGUAACGGGGCUAAACCAUGCACCGAAGCUGCGGCAGCGACACUAUGUGUUGUUGGGUAGGGGAGCGUUCUGUAAGCCUGCGAAGGUGUGCUGUGAGGCAUGCUGGAGGUAUCAGAAGUGCGAAUGCUGACAUAAGUAACGAUAAAGCGGGUGAAAAGCCCGCUCGCCGGAAGACCAAGGGUUCCUGUCCAACGUUAAUCGGGGCAGGGUGAGUCGACCCCUAAGGCGAGGCCGAAAGGCGUAGUCGAUGGGAAACAGGUUAAUAUUCCUGUACUUGGUGUUACUGCGAAGGGGGGACGGAGAAGGCUAUGUUAGCCGGGCGACGGUUGUCCCGGUUUAAGCAUGUAGGCUGAUUGUCCAGGCAAAUCCGGAUAAUCAAGGCUGAGGUGUGAUGACGAGGCACUACGGUGCUGAAGUAACAAAUGCCCUGCUUCCAGGAAAAGCCUCUAAGCAUCAGGUAACAUCAAAUCGUACCCCAAACCGACACAGGUGGUCAGGUAGAGAAUACCAAGGCGCUUGAGAGAACUCGGGUGAAGGAACUAGGCAAAAUGGUGCCGUAACUUCGGGAGAAGGCACGCUGGUGUGUAGGUGAAGUCCCUGCGGAUGGAGCUGAGACCAGUCGAAGAUACCAGCUGGCUGCAACUGUUUAUUAAAAACACAGCACUGUGCAAACACGAAAGUGGACGUAUACGGUGUGACGCCUGCCCGGUGCCGGAAGGUUAAUUGAUGGGGUUAUCCGUAAGGAGAAGCUCUUGAUCGAAGCCCCGGUAAACGGCGGCCGUAACUAUAACGGUCCUAAGGUAGCGAAAUUCCUUGUCGGGUAAGUUCCGACCUGCACGAAUGGCGUAAUGAUGGCCAGGCUGUCUCCACCCGAGACUCAGUGAAAUUGAACUCGCUGUGAAGAUGCAGUGUACCCGCGGCAAGACGGAAAGACCCCGUGAACCUUUACUAUAGCUUGACACUGAACAUUGAGCCUUGAUGUGUAGGAUAGGUGGGAGGCUUUGAAGCGUGGACGCCAGUCUGCGUGGAGCCAACCUUGAAAUACCACCCUUUAAUGUUUGAUGUUCUAACGUUGGCCCCUUACCGGGGUUGCGGACAGUGUCUGGUGGGUAGUUUGACUGGGGCGGUCUCCUCCCAAAGCGUAACGGAGGAGCACGAAGGUUAGCUAAUCCUGGUCGGACAUCAGGAGGUUAGUGCAAUGGCAUAAGCUAGCUUGACUGCGAGCGUGACGGCGCGAGCAGGUGCGAAAGCAGGUCAUAGUGAUCCGGUGGUUCUGAAUGGAAGGGCCAUCGCUCAACGGAUAAAAGGUACUCCGGGGAUAACAGGCUGAUACCGCCCAAGAGUUCAUAUCGACGGCGGUGUUUGGCACCUCGAUGUCGGCUCAUCACAUCCUGGGGCUGAAGUAGGUCCCAAGGGUAUGGCUGUUCGCCAUUUAAAGUGGUACGCGAGCUGGGUUUAGAACGUCGUGAGACAGUUCGGUCCCUAUCUGCCGUGGGCGCUGGAGAAUUGAGGGGGGCUGCUCCUAGUACGAGAGGACCGGAGUGGACGCAUCACUGGUGUUCGGGUUGUCAUGCCAAUGGCACUGCCCGGUAGCUAAAUGCGGAAGAGAUAAGUGCUGAAAGCAUCUAAGCACGAAACUUGCCCCGAGAUGAGUUCUCCCUGAGACUUUAAGUCUCCUGAAGGAACGUUAAAGACGAUGACGUUGAUAGGCCGGGUGUGUAAGCGCAGCGAUGCGUUGAGCUAACCGGUACUAAUGAACCGUGAGGCUUAACCUUACAACGCCGAAG
Molecule: ribosomal RNA, 2923 nt
Filed under: Klebsiella pneumoniae
Lineage: Bacteria; Pseudomonadati; Pseudomonadota; Gammaproteobacteria; Enterobacterales; Enterobacteriaceae
Description: 23S ribosomal RNA
Rfam family: Bacterial large subunit ribosomal RNA
Source: RNAcentral